ACAAAAACUCACCUGAGCUCGAGAAUGGGGAGAAAACUCGCCCAUUUCCGAUCUGAGGGCUCUUUAUAGGUGGCCUGGUCAGAGACCUUCGGCAGCCUAACGUGCCCCCUAAACUCAUGCAUGUUUGGCGGCCGAACUUGAGGUUCGGCGGCCGAACCUUGGCUCGUUUAAACAAAGCUUUCGGAGGCCAAAAGCGCUCCCAAAACCUUCCCAUGUUCGGCGGCCGAACUUCACUUUCGGCGGCCGAACCUGGCAAACGCCUCCUUAGUCUUUUCUUUUCAAAACUCAAUUCCUUUCCAUUUAAAACCAUAAAAUUAGUAAAAACAUUUUAGAAAACACAUUUUACCCCUCUAGAAGCCUCUAGCAUCUUCAAAAUUCCAGAUUCCAACGGAGAUUCCGCCGGAAGGUAGGGAUUCCGAUGCCGGAAUCUAGCCGAGUAUUACAGCCUUGAUGAGCAUUUGAGCUCCACUAGCAUCACGGGCACUCCAGCCCUUCUUUCAUCAGGCCUGCCUUACUCAACUCUGCUCCUAUCAGGCAGGUCAGCCAUUCCUUCUGGCAAGUCAGCCCUUCAUUCUGGCAGGUUGGCCCUUUAGCAAAUCUGUAAUACCCCCUACCCAGUUAAUUAAUUAACUGAGCCGGAGACAUUACAUUCUGUAACAAUUAAAUUAUAAGAAACAUUUCUAUAUCAAACCCCUAACAUACCUUUAAAAUUUCUAAUAUUUAGUUACUAUUUCCUCUCCCUCCACCUUGAAUUUCCUCCUUGAUUCUCCCUCUUACCUUGAAUAUUUAACUAGGGAAAAGACUUGGAUGAGAUGGCUAGUAAAUUGGGUGAAAAAUUGGAAGAAAAUAGAGUAAAUUUGAAAAGAAGAAUUUUAGGGAAGAAAAAUGGGGAUGGAUGAAACGAGACUUCUUUUUUUCUUUCUUGGAAAGAAG
This 933-nucleotide long non-coding RNA is filed under the name Manihot esculenta (cassava). Its description in RNAcentral is "long non-coding RNA (MESC_LNC005108)". Lineage: Eukaryota; Viridiplantae; Streptophyta; Magnoliopsida; Malpighiales; Euphorbiaceae. The record is from RNAcentral.